This 951-nucleotide ribosomal RNA is filed under the name Kocuria palustris. RNAcentral describes it as "bacterial SSU rRNA". It matches the Rfam family "Bacterial small subunit ribosomal RNA", at positions 62 to 1017 of the family's 1533-position model. The record is from RNAcentral. Lineage: Bacteria; Bacillati; Actinomycetota; Actinomycetes; Micrococcales; Micrococcaceae.
UCGAACGCUGAAGCACCAGCUUGCUGGUGUGGAUGAGUGGCGAACGGGUGAGUAAUACGUGAGUAACCUGCCCUUGACUCUGGGAUAAGCCCGGGAAACUGGGUCUAAUACUGGAUGCUACAUGUCACCGCAUGGUGGUGUGUGGAAAGGGUUUACUGGUCUUGGAUGGGCUCACGGCCUAUCAGCUUGUUGGUGAGGUAAUGGCUCACCAAGGCGACGACGGGUAGCCGGCCUGAGAGGGUGACCGGCCACACUGGGACUGAGACACGGCCCAGACUCCUACGGGAGGCAGCAGUGGGGAAUAUUGCACAAUGGGCGAAAGCCUGAUGCAGCGACGCCGCGUGAGGGAUGACGGCCUUCGGGUUGUAAACCUCUUUCAGCAGGGAAGAAGCCACAAGUGACGGUACCUGCAGAAGAAGCGCCGGCUAACUACGUGCCAGCAGCCGCGGUAAUACGUAGGGCGCAAGCGUUGUCCGGAAUUAUUGGGCGUAAAGAGCUCGUAGGCGGUUUGUCGCGUCUGCUGUGAAAGCCCGGGGCUUAACCCCGGGUGUGCAGUGGGUACGGGCAGACUAGAGUGCAGUAGGGGAGACUGGAAUUCCUGGUGUAGCGGUGGAAUGCGCAGAUAUCAGGAGGAACACCGAUGGCGAAGGCAGGUCUCUGGGCUGUUACUGACGCUGAGGAGCGAAAGCAUGGGGAGCGAACAGGAUUAGAUACCCUGGUAGUCCAUGCCGUAAACGUUGGGCACUAGGUGUGGGGGACAUUCCACGUUUUCCGCGCCGUAGCUAACGCAUUAAGUGCCCCGCCUGGGGGAGUACGGCCGCAAGGCUAAAACUCAAAGGAAUUGACGGGGGGCCCGCACAAGCGGCGGAGCAUGCGGAUUAAUUUCGAUGCAACGCGAAGAACCUUACCAAGGCUUGACAUAUAACCGGAUCGUUCCCGAAGAUGGUUCUU